RNAcentral lists this ribosomal RNA (504 nucleotides) under uncultured bacterium. Its description in RNAcentral is "bacterial SSU rRNA". It matches the Rfam family "Bacterial small subunit ribosomal RNA", at positions 28 to 523 of the family's 1533-position model. The record is from RNAcentral.
GAUGAACGCUAGCGACAGGCUUAACACAUGCAAGUCGAGGGGCAGCACGGGAGUAGCAAUACAACUGGUGGCGACCGGCGCACGGGUGAGUAACGCGUAUGCAACCUACCUAUCAGAGGGGAAUAACCCGGCGAAAGUCGGACUAAUACCGCAUAAAACAGGGGCACCGCAUGGUGAUAUUUGUUAAAGAAAUUCGCUGAUAGAUGGGCAUGCGUUCCAUUAGGUAGUUGGUGAGGUAACGGCUCACCAAGCCGACGAUGGAUAGGGGAACUGAGAGGUUGGUCCCCCACACUGGUACUGAGACACGGACCAGACUCCUACGGGAGGCAGCAGUGAGGAAUAUUGGUCAAUGGGCGAGAGCCUGAACCAGCCAAGUCGCGUGAAGGAAGAAGGAUCUAUGGUUCGUAAACUUCUUUUGCAGGGGAAUAAAGUGCAGGACGUGUCCUGUUUUGUAUGUACCCUGAGAAUAAGGAUCGGCUAACUCCGUGCCAGCAGCCGCGGUAA